This 293-nucleotide ribosomal RNA is filed under the name uncultured bacterium. RNAcentral describes it as "partial 16S ribosomal RNA". It matches the Rfam family "Bacterial small subunit ribosomal RNA", at positions 505 to 796 of the family's 1533-position model. The record is from RNAcentral.
GUGUCAGCAGCCGCGGUAAUACGGGGGGGGCAAGCGUUAUUCGAAAUGAUUGGGCGUAAAGAGCACGUAGACGGUCUUUUUCGUUCUUUAUGGCAAAUUCUAAGGCUUAACUUUGGAAACAUGUAUUGAAUGCGAGACUCGAGUGAGUGAGAGGAUAGUGGAAUUUCUGGUGGAGAGGUUAAAUUUGUUGAUAUCAGGAGGAAGGCCGAAAGCGAAGGCAACUAUCUAGCGCUACACUGACGUUGAGGUGCGAAAGCGUGGGGAGCAAAUGGGAUUAGAAACCCCAGUAGUCC